AGAAUCAACGCUGGCGGCGUGCCUAACACAUGCAAGUCGAACGAGAAAGUGGAGCAAUCCAUGAGUAAAGUGGCGACCGGGUGAGUAACACGUGACUAACCUACCUUCGAGUGGGGGAUAACCUCGGGAAACCGAGGCUAAUACCGCAUAACAUCGUGAGAUCAAAGCAGUAAUGCGCUGGAAGAGGGGGUCGCGGCUGAUUAGCUAGUUGGCGGGGCAAUGGCCCACCAAGGCGAAGAUCGGUA
Molecule: ribosomal RNA, 245 nt
Filed under: uncultured bacterium
Lineage: Bacteria
Description: partial small subunit ribosomal RNA
Rfam family: Bacterial small subunit ribosomal RNA
Source: RNAcentral